RNAcentral lists this ribosomal RNA (396 nucleotides) under uncultured bacterium. RNAcentral describes it as "bacterial SSU rRNA". It matches the Rfam family "Bacterial small subunit ribosomal RNA", at positions 29 to 420 of the family's 1533-position model. The record is from RNAcentral.
AGUGAACGCUGGCGGCAGGCCUAACACAUGCAAGUCGAACGGCAGCACAGCAGUAGCAAUACUGUGGGUGGCGAGUGGCGGACGGGUGAGGAAUACAUCGGAAUCUGCCUAGUCGUGGGGGAUAACGUAGGGAAACUUACGCUAAUACCGCAUACGACCUACGGGUGAAAGCGGGGGAUCGCAAGACCUCGCGCGAUUAGAUGAGCCGAUGUCCGAUUAGCUAGUUGGCGGGGUAAUGGCCCACCAAGGCGACGAUCGGUAGCUGGUCUGAGAGGAUGAUCAGCCACACUGGAACUGAGACACGGUCCAGACUCCUACGGGAGGCAGCAGUGGGGAAUAUUGGACAAUGGGCGCAAGCCUGAUCCAGCCAUGCCGCGUGGGUGAAGAAGGCCUCGG